This 425-nucleotide ribosomal RNA is filed under the name Dorea longicatena. RNAcentral's name for it is "partial 23S ribosomal RNA". It matches the Rfam family "Bacterial large subunit ribosomal RNA", at positions 1551 to 1988 of the family's 2925-position model. Lineage: Bacteria; Bacillati; Bacillota; Clostridia; Lachnospirales; Lachnospiraceae. The record is from RNAcentral.
CAAUCCGAAGACGUGAUGCGGACCGAAUUAAGAGUAGGGAAGUGUGUGAGCCAUGCGUCAAGAAAAGCCGCUAUUGUUUUACUUAAGCCCGUACCGUAAACCGACACAGGUGGAUGAGGAGAGAAUCCUAAGGCCGACGGGAGAAGCAUUGUUAAGGAACUCGGCAAAAUGACUCCGUAACUUCGGGAGAAGGAGUGCCAGCGAGAGCUGGCCGCAGAGAAUUGGCCCAAGCAACUGUUUAGCAAAAACACAGGUCUAUGCAAAACCGUAAGGUGAAGUAUAUGGGCUGACGCCUGCCCGGUGCUGGAAGGUUAAGAGGAGAGGUUAGCGGCAACGCGAAGCUUUGAAUUUAAGCCCCAGUAAACGGCGGCCGUAACUAUAACGGUCCUAAGGUAGCGAAAUUCCUUGUCGGGUAAGUUCCGACC